RNAcentral lists this ribosomal RNA (422 nucleotides) under uncultured bacterium. RNAcentral's name for it is "bacterial SSU rRNA". It matches the Rfam family "Bacterial small subunit ribosomal RNA", at positions 355 to 774 of the family's 1533-position model. The record is from RNAcentral.
UGAGGAAUAUUGGGCAAUGCCCGCAAGGGUGACCCAGCAACGCCGCGUGGAGGAUGAAUGUCGCAAGAUUGUAAACUCCUGUUAGAGGGGAAGAAUAGUACCGGUUGGACCGGUAUAUGACUGUACCCUCAGAGAAAGCCCCGGCUAACUACGUGCCAGCAGCCGCGGUAAUACGUAGGGGGCAAGCGUUGUCCGGAUUUACUGGGUGUAAAGGGCGCGCAGGCGGGAUAAAAAGUCAGUGGUGAAAUCCUACAGCUUAACUGUAGAACUGCCUUUGAUACUUUUAUUCUUGAGUUCGGGAGAGAGAGACGGAAUUCCAGGUGUAGUGGUGAAAUACGUAGAUAUCUGGAAGAACACCAGUUGCGAAGGCGGUCUCUUGGUCCGACACUGACGCUGAGGCGCGAAAGCGUGGGGAGCAAACA